GGGACCAUAGCUCAGCUGGGAGAGCACCUGCCUUACAAGCAGGGGGUCACAGGUUCGAGCCCUGUUGGCCCCACCA
RNAcentral lists this transfer RNA (76 nucleotides) under Clostridioides difficile. RNAcentral's name for it is "tRNA-Val". It matches the Rfam family "tRNA". Rfam says of the family: Transfer RNA (tRNA) molecules are approximately 80 nucleotides in length. Their secondary structure includes four short double-helical elements and three loops (D, anti-codon, and T loops). Further hydrogen bonds mediate the characteristic L-shaped molecular structure. tRNAs have two regions of fundamental functional importance: the anti-codon, which is responsible for specific mRNA codon recognition, and the 3' end, to which the tRNAs corresponding amino acid is attached (by aminoacyl-tRNA synthetases). tRNAs cope with the degeneracy of the genetic code in two manners: having more than one tRNA (with a specific anti-codon) for a particular amino acid; and 'wobble' base-pairing, i.e. permitting non-standard base-pairing at the 3rd anti-codon position. The record is from RNAcentral. Lineage: Bacteria; Bacillati; Bacillota; Clostridia; Peptostreptococcales; Peptostreptococcaceae.